CUGUGUGCUGUGUGGACUCCCCAGGGCUCCUUUUUAAUGCUCCUCUGCGGUCUGCACAGGUGGUGGUGGAAACUCACUGAUUCUCAGACCCUCCUUCUUCAGCUUCUCAGAGCUCUGACUCAUCUCCCAUCAUCUGCUCUCAGAACAGACACAACCGGCGUUAAUAGACCCGAGAGAGCGCCGACUUCAUUAUGUGACAGGACAGACACCAAAAACAUGACCCUGCUCACCUGCAGAGCCUCAGGUAC
Molecule: long non-coding RNA, 248 nt
Organism: Notolabrus celidotus (New Zealand spotty)
Lineage: Eukaryota; Metazoa; Chordata; Actinopteri; Labriformes; Labridae
Exons: 3
Source: RefSeq, a predicted model, not a curated record